Molecule: long non-coding RNA, 370 nt
Organism: Amphimedon queenslandica
Lineage: Eukaryota; Metazoa; Porifera; Demospongiae; Haplosclerida; Niphatidae
Exons: 2
Source: RefSeq, a predicted model, not a curated record
UGAGAAUUGGUUGAAGGCCAUUGUGGCAUAAUACCAUUAGGAGAAUCAUGUGAUCAAUGUUGGACCACUGGAUUGGAAUGGAAUCUUGAUAGAGAAGAAAUGAAGAUAGGAGGAUUGAUCAGUACAUGUAAUUUGCUAAAAUCAGAUCUCGUGCCACAUCCACAAGACUACACUGUGACUAUUAAAUGCACUCAUAAAGUUGUGUUCUCUUUUUCACACAAACUAUGUAAUGUAUAACUAUAAUACAAAUUGAUACACUAAAACUAGUAAAAACCUUUUAACAGUUACUCUAUGUUAAGUUGCUCUAAUUCCUUUUAUUGUGGCAUACGUUCAUAAACAUCUUCAGGUGAUGUUUGACAUUCAUCAUAAA